AUUAACGCUGGCGGUGUGUCUAAUACAUGCAAGUCGAACGGCUCGCAAGAGCAGUGGCAAACGGGUGAGUAACACGUUGGUACAUGCCCCGAAGUGAGGGAUACCCCGUAGAAAUACGGGUUAAUACCGCAUAUGAUCGCAAGAUUAAAGCAGCAAUGCGCUUCGGGAAUGGCCUGCGUACUAUCAGCUAGUUGGUGAGGUAAUGGCUCACCAAGGCUAUGACGGUUAACUGGUCUGAGAGGAUGAUCAGUCACAGGGAAACUGAGACACGGUUCCCACUCCUACGGGAGGCAGCAGUAAGGAAUCUUUCGCAAUGGGGGAAACCCUGACGAAGCGACACCGCGUGAACGAUGAAGGUCGGAAGAUCGUAAAGUUCUUUUCUGAGGGAGAAAUUCUGAUAGUACCUCAGGAAUAAGCACCGGCUAACUCCGU
This 432-nucleotide ribosomal RNA is filed under the name uncultured bacterium. RNAcentral's name for it is "bacterial SSU rRNA". It matches the Rfam family "Bacterial small subunit ribosomal RNA", at positions 29 to 506 of the family's 1533-position model. The record is from RNAcentral.